AAAAAAUAAUAAAAAAUAAAAAGUAUCUAGCAUCUACUUGUAAUCUUCUUGCAUAUUGGGCUCUGGAACCAGGUCCUCUUGAUCUAAAAUGGUUAAAUAAAGGAUGAGCUACACUAGCCCAGUAAGGAUAUCACACUAUAUCACCGGCACAGAAGCAAAGGUUGGUAUAAAAUCAAAACAACUAAUGGAACACUAAAUUUAGCAAAUUCGUUUAUCAAUCAUAAAAUUAUUUACCGUUCACUUACCAUUGUGGAAUUUAUGAAAACAACCUAUAGAGACAAUAAUACCAUACAGAUCAUAACUUCAUGAACAAUCAGCAAUAUAGAACAUAUCAUAAAUUCAUAUCCAUUAACAAUAAACCAAAUCAUAAUCGUUUCUUAUUUCACCAAUCUACUAUUAUCCAUGGGGGUUCAUAGGGGUGUCCCCCUAACACAUGAACCCUUUCCCUUAACAAUCUCAAUUACAGGGCCGUCCCCAUACCCGUCCGGUAUAAGCCCCAAGACAUUAAACCUCAAUACCUUAUCCGGUAUGAGGGUGAAGCGGGCCGUCCCAUACCACGUCCGGUAUGAGACAACAUUCACGGUAGGGUUCCCUAUGAACCCGGUCCGUCCACCAUCUCCCAGGAUAUUUAGUGAGGCUAUCAUUCUAUCUGUUUAUUUGAUCCCCUUUCCUGUUUUUCCUUAGUCUCCAUUACCAAAUCAAACAUAAUCACAUAAACAAAUAAACAUGCAUCCAGUAAUGCAAUCAUGUCUCAAAUUCCAAAAUCAAAUAGUGGUCAGGUAAUGCAGUAAUACAUGCAUUUAAACCAUAAAAUAGAUAAACUAGAUACCAUCAUGCUUUUAGAUUGUAAAAUAAAUCAACAAAAAUCAAUAGAGAACAAUGUCCGGUUUGGGCUCCAUUAGAAAUCUGUAAUUAAUUAU
RNAcentral lists this long non-coding RNA (920 nucleotides) under Carica papaya (papaya). RNAcentral's name for it is "long non-coding RNA (CPAP_LNC003605)". The record is from RNAcentral. Lineage: Eukaryota; Viridiplantae; Streptophyta; Magnoliopsida; Brassicales; Caricaceae.